Molecule: long non-coding RNA, 411 nt
Filed under: Gallus gallus (chicken)
Lineage: Eukaryota; Metazoa; Chordata; Aves; Galliformes; Phasianidae
Description: lncRNA (ENSGALG00010008890.1)
Source: RNAcentral
CGUGGUUUAACGGCACCAGAUUGCAUGGGCGUGUUUCAUCUUUACAGAACCAAUCAACUUACUCAGCUUAAGCCUCAGCUGGGUGUUACUUAUACCAACUUUUUUUCAGUAUGCCCUGAAGCAGGCCCCAAAGGUCAGGGUCGUUUCACCUUUCCCCCCUUCUAGACCUUUGUCCUCCCAGCUGCUUAUUAUUGUUGGUGUUUUGGUGAGGUUCAAGUUAUGAAAUCAUUUCUGUGGUAAAAUGCUCAAGUGUGCAUAGAGGAUUCAUGUGGAGUAGUAAGUGAAAUGAGACAGAGGCGUAACAAGGAACUGACAUCAAGAAAAAUAGAGUAAAACAUGAUUUAAUCUGAACAUUGAAAAUCUGUGAAGCUAAAUGCAAGUAAAACUGUAGGCUGUGCAGGUGUUCUGUAU